GACGAACGCUGGCGGCGCGCCUAACACAUGCAAGUCGAACGAGCGAGAGAGAGCUUGCUUUCUCGAGCGAGUGGCGAACGGGUGAGUAACGCGUGAGGAACCUGCCUCAAAGAGGGGGACAACAGUUGGAAACGACUGCUAAUACCGCAUAAGCCCACGACCUGGCAUCGGGUUGAGGGAAAAGGAGCAAUCCGCUGUAAGAUGGGCUCGCGUCCGAUUAGAUAGUUGGCGGGGUAACGGCCCACCAAGUCGACGAUCGGUAGCCGGACUGAGAGGUUGAUCGGCCACAUUGGGACUGAGACACGGCCCAG
Molecule: ribosomal RNA, 311 nt
Filed under: uncultured bacterium
Lineage: Bacteria
Description: bacterial SSU rRNA
Rfam family: Bacterial small subunit ribosomal RNA
Source: RNAcentral